AUUUCUCUGAGAUGUUCGCAAGCGGGCCAGUCCCCUGAGCCGAUAUUUCAAAAAAACAGAAUGUGACGCUCCACGGUUGGUGAGCAUGCUCGGUUCGUCCGAGAAGCCUGAAAACCGUGACGAC
This 124-nucleotide small RNA is filed under the name Leptospira borgpetersenii serovar Ballum. RNAcentral's name for it is "partial 6S RNA". It matches the Rfam family "6S / SsrS RNA", at positions 1 to 125 of the family's 187-position model. From Rfam's summary of the family: E. coli 6S RNA was the first non coding RNA to be sequenced, but its function was unknown until recently. It consists of 184 nucleotides that fold into an extended hairpin structure with a large single-stranded internal bulge. Lineage: Bacteria; Pseudomonadati; Spirochaetota; Leptospiria; Leptospirales; Leptospiraceae. The record is from RNAcentral.